This 495-nucleotide ribosomal RNA is filed under the name uncultured bacterium. Its description in RNAcentral is "partial 16S ribosomal RNA". It matches the Rfam family "Bacterial small subunit ribosomal RNA", at positions 28 to 507 of the family's 1533-position model. The record is from RNAcentral.
GAUGAACGCUGGCGGCGUGCCUAAUACAUGCAAGUAGAACGCUGAAGGAGGAGCUUGCUCUUCUGGAUGAGUUGCGAACGGGUGAGUAACGCGUAGGUAACCUGCCUGGUAGCGGGGGAUAACUAUUGGAAACGAUAGCUAAUACCGCAUGACAACAGUUAUUGCAUGAUAACUGUUUAAAAGUGGCAACUGCUCCACUACCAGAUGGACCUGCGUUGUAUUAGCUAGUUGGUGAGGUAACGGCUCACCAAGGCGACGAUACAUCGCCGACCUGAGAGGGUGGUCGGCCACACUGGGACUGAGACACGGCCCAGACUGCUACGGGAGGGAGCAGGAGGGAAUCGUCGGCAAUGGGCGGAAAUCUGACCGAACAACGCCGCGGGAGGGAAGAAGGGUGUCGGGUCGGAAAGCUCUGUUGUAAGGGAAGAACGAGUGUGAGAGUGGAAAGUUCACACUGUGACGGUAUCUGACCAGAAAGGGACGGCUAACUACGUG